AGUCCAUUAGCUCACAAUCCAUAAACCCAACCAAAAACAAAAAUAAAUGAAACUGUAAACGCCAUUGAUGCGUUUCAGAACCUCAAACUGCAAGCUCUCUCUUCAUUUCAGCUUGGUUUUUGCCCAAAAAUCGCUCAUAAACACUCGAAAACUCACCAAAUUUCAUUCUCUUUGUUGUUUGUUGAAGAACACCCAAAUUUCAGCUGGGUUUUUGCCCAAAAAUCGCCCAAAAAACGCUCAAAAACGCUCCAAAUUUCAGAGAAAUUUAAAUCUCUUUGUUGUUUGUCGAAGAACCCCCAAAAUUCAGUUGGAUAAUUGUUUCGAAAAGUUUAACAUGGCCUCGUUUGACUUGGGUAUACUUGGGCUCAACGACAUACCCCUACAGCCACCACAACAGACACAAGCAGCUGACCCUAAUCUAGCGUAUUACAGGAGAUCAAAAAGACGUCAAGACAUUGCAUUCCCUGUAGUUCUGGAAAAAAAAUCUCCAACGAAGAAGAAACCAUCUCCAACAAAGAAAAACCGUCUCCAACGAAGCAAAACCCCUUUGUGAAGGAAUGAAGACUAGUAACAAGAUCGUCUCCAAAAAAAGUAGUUUGAACCGUUUUGUGACAAUUACUUAGUUUGCAUGCUUAUGCGAUGAUUACUUAGUUAUUACCAAAAAGGACAAUUACAUCAAAUUAGUUAUUUUGCUGAAUGUGUAAUCAAGUGUUUCUGUUUUGAUACUCAAGUGUCUGUUAAUCAGUAAGUCAGGUUAUAAUUCCAACUUAUGUUAAUGUGUAAGUUCGUUGUAUUUUAUUAAGUGACUGUUAUAUGUCAACUAGAGACCAUGAUAUGUCAAUUAGUGACUACUAAUAUUAAUCAGUAAGUUGUACUUUAA
Long non-coding RNA from Beta vulgaris subsp. vulgaris (sugar beet), 880 nucleotides. RefSeq lists it as uncharacterized. The transcript is spliced from 2 exons. Lineage: Eukaryota; Viridiplantae; Streptophyta; Magnoliopsida; Caryophyllales; Amaranthaceae. The record is from RefSeq and is a predicted model, not a curated record.